RNAcentral lists this ribosomal RNA (776 nucleotides) under uncultured Neocallimastigales. RNAcentral's name for it is "partial large subunit ribosomal RNA". It matches the Rfam family "Eukaryotic large subunit ribosomal RNA", at positions 16 to 641 of the family's 3401-position model. Lineage: Eukaryota; Fungi; Neocallimastigomycota; Neocallimastigomycetes; Neocallimastigales. The record is from RNAcentral.
UACGACUACAUAUCAGGCAUGUCAAUAAGCGGAGGAAAAGAAACUAACUAGGAUUCCCUUAGUAACGGCGAGUGAAGUGGGAAGAGCUCAAAUUUGAAAUCUUCAAGGUUCUACCUUGACGAAUUGUAGUUUAAAGAAGUGUUUUCUGUUGGAGUUUUGGUAAAAGUUCUUUGGAAUAGGACAUCAUAGAGGGUGAGAAUCCCGUAUUUGACCAUUUCUUCCAGCUGUGUGAUACACUUUCAAAGAGUCGGAUUGUUUGGGAAUGCAGUCCAAAAUGGGUGGUAAAUUUCAUCUAAAGCUAAAUAUUGGCGAGAGACCGAUAGCGAACAAGUACCGUGAGGGAAAGAUGAAAAGAACUUUGAAAAGAGAGUUAAACAGUACGUGAAAUUGUCAAAAGGGAAGCGUUUGACACCUAGUGUUGUUUUCUCGAAAAUCAAUUAAAAAUGACCGGAUUUUGUGUUGUAUUGACUUUAUCAGCUUUCUGCACUUUUUUCUUGUCUUUUUUAAUGCACUUUUCGUUUAACAAGUCAACAUCAAUUUCUUUUGUUGUAAAAGGAGUCAUUGGAAGGUGGCUUUCACUUCGGUGAAAGUGUUUAUAGCCUUUGACUUCUGCAAUCGGAGAGAUUGAGGUCUGCAGCGUAGAUCCUUUGGGGUUAGAUACAUUUGUGCUAAGUUAUAGUUUUUCAUAGACAACAUGUUGACUAUGAUUAAUCAUGUAGCUUACUCGCUUAUGCUAUUUUACCUACGCUUAGGAUGUUGAACGCGCACAGAGUCUC